RNAcentral lists this ribosomal RNA (811 nucleotides) under Salmonella enterica subsp. enterica serovar Saintpaul. RNAcentral describes it as "partial 23S ribosomal RNA". It matches the Rfam family "Bacterial large subunit ribosomal RNA", at positions 691 to 1503 of the family's 2925-position model. Lineage: Bacteria; Pseudomonadati; Pseudomonadota; Gammaproteobacteria; Enterobacterales; Enterobacteriaceae. The record is from RNAcentral.
GGCGUUAAGUUGCAGGGUAUAGACCCGAAACCCGGUGAUCUAGCCAUGGGCAGGUUGAAGGUUGGGUAACACUAACUGGAGGACCGAACCGACUAAUGUUGAAAAAUUAGCGGAUGACCUGUGGCUGGGGGUGAAAGGCCAAUCAAACCGGGAGAUAGCUGGUUCUCCCCGAAAGCUAUUUAGGUAGCGCCUCGUGAAUUCAUCUCCGGGGGUAGAGCACUGUUUCGGCUAGGGGGCCAUCCCGGCUUACCAACCCGAUGCAAACUGCGAAUACCGGAGAAUGUUAUCACGGGAGACACACGGCGGGUGCUAACGUCCGUCGUGAAGAGGGAAACAACCCAGACCGCCAGCUAAGGUCCCAAAGUCAUGGUUAAGUGGGAAACGAUGUGGGAAGGCCCAGACAGCCAGGAUGUUGGCUUAGAAGCAGCCAUCAUUUAAAGAAAGCGUAAUAGCUCACUGGUCGAGUCGGCCUGCGCGGAAGAUGUAACGGGGCUAAACCAUGCACCGAAGCUGCGGCAGCGACGCUUAUGCGUUGUUGGGUAGGGGAGCGUUCUGUAAGCCUGUGAAGGUGGCCUGUGAGGGUUGCUGGAGGUAUCAGAAGUGCGAAUGCUGACAUAAGUAACGAUAAAGCGGGUGAAAAGCCCGCUCGCCGGAAGACCAAGGGUUCCUGUCCAACGUUAAUCGGGGCAGGGUGAGUCGACCCCUAAGGCGAGGCCGAAAGGCGUAGUCGAUGGGAAACGGGUUAAUAUUCCCGUACUUGGUGUUACUGCGAAGGGGGGACGGAGAAGGCUAUGUUGGCCGGGCGACGGUU